GUCAAGUAAGAAUACCCGCUGAACUUAAGCAUAUCAAUAAGCGGAGGAAAAGAAACUAACAAGGAUUCCCUUAGUAACGGCGAGUGAAGCGGGAAGAGCUCAAAUUUUAAAUCUCCGAGGUUUUCCUUGGCGAGUUGUAAUUUGAAGAGAGUGUUUUGACGUUCGGGUUCAAUCCAAAUCCUUUGGGAUAAGGUAUCAUAGAGGGUGAGAAUCCCGUUUAUGAUUGAAUCUCGAGUGUCGCUUAAUUCACUUUCCAAGAGUCGAGUUGUUUGGGAUUGCAGCUCAAAACGGGUGGUAAAUUUCACCUAAGGCUAAAUAUGUGCAAGAGACCGAUAGCGAACAAGUACCGUGAGGGAAAGAUGAAAAGAACUUUGAAAAGAGAGUUAAAUAGUACGUGAAAUUGUUGAAAGGGAAACGAUUGUAGUCAGUCAUGCUAGUGAGGAAUCAACCGGAUGGUGCGUGGGUUCUCCCUCGUACUUUCCGGUGCACUUUCUCACCCGGCAGGUUAGCAUCAAUUUCGGUUAUCAUAAAAAAUUUGAGAGAAUGUGGCUUUCCUUCGGGAAAGUGUUACAGAUCUCGAUCUAUGUGGUGACCGGGAUUGAGGAUUGCAGCGGAUACCCUCGUGGCUCGUCACCUGGCUUCUGACGGUUACCCCGCUUUCGAUAGCUCGCUAACGUUAGUGGGACUCGAUUGUCUAGAUGUCAGAGUGAUUGAUUUUCGCUAAGGAUGCUGACGUAAUGGCUUUAAACGACCCGUCUUGAAACACGGACCAAGGAGUCUAACAUGUGUGCGAGUGUU
This 798-nucleotide ribosomal RNA is filed under the name uncultured Acaulosporaceae. Its description in RNAcentral is "eukaryotic LSU rRNA". It matches the Rfam family "Eukaryotic large subunit ribosomal RNA", at positions 11 to 694 of the family's 3401-position model. Lineage: Eukaryota; Fungi; Glomeromycota; Glomeromycetes; Diversisporales; Acaulosporaceae. The record is from RNAcentral.